UCGAGAAUCAUUCGCAAUGGGCGAAAGCCUGACGAUGCGACGCCGUGUGAGCGAUGAAGGCCUUAGGGUCGUAAAGCUCUUUCGCUUGGGAACAAGAGAAGUCAGCUAAUAACUGGCUAAUUUGAGGGUACCAGGUAAAGAAGCACCGGCUAACUCCGUGCCAGCAGCUGCGGUAAUACGGAGGGUGCAAGCAUUGAUCGGAAUUAUUGGGCGUAAAGGGCGCGUAGGCGGCUAGAUAAGUCAGAUGUGAAUUUCCGGGGCUCAACCCCGGGGCUGCAUUUGAAACUGUCCAGCUAGAGUAUAGUUAGGGAAAACGGAAUUCCACGUGUAGCGGUGAAAUGCGUAGAUAUGUGGAAGAACACCGGUGGUGAAGACGGUUUUCUAGGCUAAAACUGACGCUGAGGCGCGAAAGCUAGGGGAGCAAACA
This 427-nucleotide ribosomal RNA is filed under the name uncultured bacterium. RNAcentral describes it as "bacterial SSU rRNA". It matches the Rfam family "Bacterial small subunit ribosomal RNA", at positions 355 to 774 of the family's 1533-position model. The record is from RNAcentral.